GACGAACGCUGGCGGCGCGCUUAACACAUGCAAGUCGAACGGAAAGGCCCUGCUUGCAGGGUACUCGAGUGGCGAACGGGUGAGUAACACGUGGGUGAUCUGCCCUGCACUUCGGGAUAAGCCUGGGAAACUGGGUCUAAUACCGGAUAGGAGCCAUUUUUAGUGUGAUGGUUGGAAAGUUUUUUCGGUGUAGGAUGAGCUCGCGGCCUAUCAGCUUGUUGGUGGGGUAAUGGCCUACCAAGGCGGCGACGGGUAGCCGGCCUGAGAGGGUGGACGGCCACAUUGGGACUGAGAUACGGCCCAGACUCCUACGGGAGGCAGCAGUGGGGAAUAUUGCACAAUGGGCGCAAGCCUGAUGCAGCGACGCCGCGUGGGGGAUGACGGCCUUCGGGUUGUAAACUCCUUUCGCUAGGGACGAAGCUUUUUGUGACGGUACCUAGAUAAGAAGCACCGGCUAACUACGUG
Molecule: ribosomal RNA, 465 nt
Filed under: uncultured bacterium
Lineage: Bacteria
Description: partial 16S ribosomal RNA
Rfam family: Bacterial small subunit ribosomal RNA
Source: RNAcentral